Molecule: ribosomal RNA, 1158 nt
Filed under: uncultured Flavobacteriaceae bacterium
Lineage: Bacteria; Pseudomonadati; Bacteroidota; Flavobacteriia; Flavobacteriales; Flavobacteriaceae
Description: bacterial SSU rRNA
Rfam family: Bacterial small subunit ribosomal RNA
Source: RNAcentral
AUGGAGGCAACUCUGAUCCAGCGAUACCGCGUGAAGGAAGACGGCCUUAUGGGUUGUAAACUUCUUUUAUACAGGAAGAAACCUUUCCACGUGUGGAAAGCUGACGGUACUGUAAGAAUAAGGAUCGGCUAACUCCGUGCCAGCAGCCGCGGUAAUACGGAGGAUCCAAGCGUUAUCCGGAAUUAUUGGGUUUAAAGGGUCCGCAGGCUGUUUGUUAAGUCAGAGGUGAAAUCCUACCGCUCAACGGUAGAACUGCCUUUGAUACUGGCAAACUUGAGUUAUUGUGAAGUAGUUAGAAUGUGUAGUGUAGCGGUGAAAUGCAUAGAUAUUACACAGAAUACCGAUUGCGAAAGCAGAUUACUAACAAUAUACUGACGCUGAGGGACGAAAGCGUGGGUAGCGAACAGGAUUAGAUACCCUGGUAGUCCACGCCGUAAACGAUGGUCACUAGCUGUUCGAUGUACAUUGGUACAUUGAGUGGCUAAGCGAAAGUGAUAAGUGACCCACCUGGGGAGUACGCUCGCAAGAGUGAAACUCAAAGGAAUUGACGGGGGCCCGCACAAGCGGUGGAGCAUGUGGUUUAAUUCGAUGAUACGCGAGGAACCUUACCAGGACUUAAAUGUAAGUUGCAUGAUUCAGAAAUGGAUCUUUCUUCGGACUACUUACAAGGUGCUGCAUGGUUGUCGUCAGCUCGUGCCGUGAGGUGUCAGGUUAAGUCCUAUAACGAGCGCAACCCCUAUCGUUAGUUGCCAUCAAGUAAAGUUGGGAACUCUAGCGAAACUGCCGGUGCAAACCGUGAGGAAGGUGGGGAUGACGUCAAAUCAUCACGGCCCUUACGUUCUGGGCUACACACGUGCUACAAUGGCCGGUACAGAAAGCAGCCACUAUGCGAAUAGGAGCUAAUCUUCAAAGCCGGUCUCAGUUCGGAUCGCAGUCUGCAACUCGACUGCGUGAAGCUGGAAUCGCUAGUAAUCGGAUAUCAGCCAUGAUCCGGUGAAUACGUUCCCGGGCCUUGUACACACCGCCCGUCAAGCCAUGGAAGCUGGGGGUACCUAAAGUCGGUGACCGAAAGGAGCCGCCUAGGGUAAAACUAGUAACUGGGGCUAAGUCGUAACAAGGUAGCCGUACCGGAAGGUGCGGCUGGAAUACCUCCUUUCU